This 118-nucleotide ribosomal RNA is filed under the name Picocystis salinarum. Lineage: Eukaryota; Viridiplantae; Chlorophyta; Picocystophyceae; Picocystales; Picocystaceae. The record is from RNAcentral.
UCUUGGUGUUUAUUGCACAGUGGAACCACACCAAUCCAUCCCGAACUUGGUAGUGAAACGCUGUUGCGGUGACGAUAUUGCAGUGGAGACGCUGUGAGACAAUAACUCAAUGCCAAGA